UACGGAGUGGGCGUGCGUUAUCCGGAAUCACUGGGUUUAAAGGGUGCGUAGGCGGCUCGGUAAGUCAGUUGUGAAAGCCCCUUGCUCAACGAGGGAGGUGCGAUUGAUACCGUCGAGCUUGAAUCGGGAUGAGGCAGGCGGAAUGUGGCAUGUUGCGGUGAAAUGCAUAGAUAUGCCAUAGAACACCGAUUGCGAAGGCAGCCUGCUGGGCCUGUAUUGACGCGGAGGCACGAAAGCGUGGGGAGCAAACAGG
RNAcentral lists this ribosomal RNA (253 nucleotides) under uncultured bacterium. RNAcentral's name for it is "partial 16S ribosomal RNA". It matches the Rfam family "Bacterial small subunit ribosomal RNA", at positions 524 to 776 of the family's 1533-position model. The record is from RNAcentral.